Molecule: unclassified non-coding RNA, 318 nt
Filed under: Cryptoporus volvatus
Lineage: Eukaryota; Fungi; Basidiomycota; Agaricomycetes; Polyporales; Polyporaceae
Description: partial contains 5.8S ribosomal RNA, internal transcribed spacer 2, and large subunit ribosomal RNA
Source: RNAcentral
CGCACCUUGCGCUCCUUGGUAUUCCGAGGAGCAUGCCUGUUUGAGUGUCAUGAAAUCAUCAACUUUAAAUGCUUUUGCGAGCGUUUAAGGCUUGGACUUGGAGGUUUUAUUGCUGGCAUCAGUUCAGCUCCUCUUUAAAUGCAUUAGCUUAGACCUAUUUACACUAAACGGUUUUUGAUGUGAUAAAUUAUCUACAUCGCUUUGUGACCUUGUGUAAUUUAGUGACUGGCUUCUAACCGUCCAUUGACUUGGACAUAAAUACAAUAUCUUUUGUAUCAAUCUGACCUCAAAUCAGGUAGGACUACCCGCUGAACUUAA